Molecule: ribosomal RNA, 468 nt
Filed under: uncultured bacterium
Lineage: Bacteria
Description: partial 16S ribosomal RNA
Rfam family: Bacterial small subunit ribosomal RNA
Source: RNAcentral
GACGAACGCUGGCGGCGUGCUUAACACAUGCAAGUCGAACGGAAAGGCCCUGCUUUUGUGGGGUGCUCGAGUGGCGAACGGGUGAGUAACACGUGAGUAACCUGCCCUUGACUUUGGGAUAACUUCAGGAAACUGGGGCUAAAACCGGAUAGGAGCUCCUGCUGCAUGGUGGGGGUUGGAAAGUUUCGGCGGUUGGAGAUGGACUCGCGGCUUAUCAGCUUGUUGGUGGGGUAGUGGCUUACCAAGGCUUUGACGGGUAGCCGGCCUGAGAGGGUGACCGGCCACAUUGGGACUGAGAUACGGCCCAGACUCCUACGGGAGGCAGCAGUGGGGAAUAUUGCACAAUGGGCGGAAGCCUGAUGCAGCAACGCCGCGUGCGGGAUGACGGCCUUCGGGUUGUAAACCGCUUUCGCCUGUGACGAAGCGUGAGUGACGGUAAUGGGUAAAGAAGCACCGGCUAACUACGUG